This 528-nucleotide ribosomal RNA is filed under the name uncultured bacterium. RNAcentral's name for it is "bacterial SSU rRNA". It matches the Rfam family "Bacterial small subunit ribosomal RNA", at positions 8 to 516 of the family's 1533-position model. The record is from RNAcentral.
AGAGUUUGAUCCUGGCUCAGGACGAACGCUGGCGGCUUGCCUAACACAUGCAAGUCGAGCGGACCCAGUGGAGCUUGCUCCCUUGGGUAUGCGGGGGAGGGGUGAGUAACACGUGUGUAACUUUCCUCGUUGACUGGGAUAACCCCGGGAAAUCGGGGCCCAUAACUGAUGCUUGAUUAAACGGCAUGGCUCGGUUGAACCGGGGGCUUUCACAUUACGACUUAACAAUGGACCUGCGCUCGCUUUACUCCGUUGGUGAGCUAACGGCUCACCACCGCUACCAUGUUUAGCCGACUCCUGAGGGUGAUUGGCCCCGAGGUUACUGAUAAACUACCAUCAAUGCUACGGGAGGUAACAAUUGGAAAUCUUCUGCAAUGCACAAAAGUCUGACGGACCAACGCCACGUAAGUCUUCAGGGUUUUCGGAUCUUACAACUCUGUUGAUAGGCAAGAACAUUUCCUGCUCGAGUCUGGCGGUACCUUGUGGGCAACUAACCAGAAAGCUACGGCUAAAUACCUGCCACCAGCC